RNAcentral lists this transfer RNA (73 nucleotides) under Bos taurus (domestic cattle). It matches the Rfam family "tRNA". From Rfam's summary of the family: Transfer RNA (tRNA) molecules are approximately 80 nucleotides in length. Their secondary structure includes four short double-helical elements and three loops (D, anti-codon, and T loops). Lineage: Eukaryota; Metazoa; Chordata; Mammalia; Artiodactyla; Bovidae. RNAcentral also lists the same sequence under 4 other names. The record is from Rfam by way of RNAcentral.
UCCCUGAUGGUCCAGUGGCUAAGACUCCAUGCUCCCAAUGCAGGGGGCCUGGGUUCAAUUCCUGGUUAGGGAA